CGUAGGUGAACCUGCGGAGUCCCGCUCCUAACAACCAAAGGCGCGGGAUGCGCCAAGGAAAAUCGAAACGAAUCUGACUCCUGCCUCGGUGCAUUGCAUCGUGUCGGCGAGUGUAUUCGAUAAGUCAUAACGACUCUCGGCAACGGAUAUCUCGGCUCUCGCAUCGAUGAAGAACGUAGCAAAAUGCGAUACGUGGUGUGAAUUGCAGGAUCCCGUGAACCAUCGAGUUUUUGAACGCAAGUUGCGCCCGAAGCCUUUAGGCCGAGGGCACGUCUGCCUGGGCGUCACGCACCGUUGCCCCCCAAACCCCCUCAGUCCUCCACGGAGGAUUGGCGAGGCGCGUGGGGGGCGUAAAGUGGCUUCCCGUCGGCUUUGUCCCGCGGUUGGCCUAAAAAUGAAUCCCUAGCCGCGGUGCGCGCGGCAUUCGGUGGUCAUCGAUCCCUUUCGUUACCCCGCCGCGCGCUCACGUGCCGCGAAGGAUGUCACACUAGUAAACCCGACGCCUCGCUUUGUGAAGAGCGGAGCUUACAACGCGACCCCAGGUCAGGCGGGGCUACCCGCUGAA
This 565-nucleotide ribosomal RNA is filed under the name embryophyte environmental sample. RNAcentral's name for it is "eukaryotic LSU rRNA". The stretch from base 132 to 287 matches the Rfam family "5.8S ribosomal RNA". Lineage: Eukaryota; Viridiplantae; Streptophyta. The record is from RNAcentral.